UACGGAGGGGGCUAGCGUUAUUCGGAACUACUGGGCGUAAAGCGCACGUAGGCGGAUUGGAUAGUUGGAGGUGAAAUCCCAGGGCUCAACCUGGGAACUGCUUUCAAAACUGCUGAGCUAGAGUACGGUAGAGGGUAGUGGAAUUUCCUGUGUAGCGGUGAAAUGCGUAGAUAUAGGAAGGAACACCAGUGGCGAAGGCGACUACCUGGACUGGUACUGACACUGAGGUGCGAAAGCGUGGGGAGCAAACAGG
Molecule: ribosomal RNA, 253 nt
Filed under: uncultured bacterium
Lineage: Bacteria
Description: partial 16S ribosomal RNA
Rfam family: Bacterial small subunit ribosomal RNA
Source: RNAcentral